Non-coding RNA from Rattus norvegicus (Norway rat), 994 nucleotides. Lineage: Eukaryota; Metazoa; Chordata; Mammalia; Rodentia; Muridae. The record is from RefSeq and is a predicted model, not a curated record.
CUGGGAGCUCUAGGAACCCAGAUUGGAUGGCAGACAAGGUCUAUCUGAUACUAGUCGAGUAAAUGCUGUUCUGACUUUCAAGCUCCAGAACAUCAACGGAUAAUCCAACUGAUGGCUGCCUUCGCAGAGAGAGUUGCUGUAUGGCUUUCAUCGUAUUAGACUCCGGGAUAAACGCAACAGAAGUCAACCUGAAAUUGAAGAGUCUCCUAUUAACAACCCUUGAUUCUUUCUUGCUUACUUGCUUAUAGCCCUCGUUGGCCGCUGGCCUAGAACUCACUAUGUAGACUAAGUUGGUCCUUUCCUCCCAGGGAUCUGUCUGCCUCUGCCUCCUGGCCACUGAGAUUAAAGUUAUGUCCAGCCAACAACCCGGCAAUUCUAACACUCCAGAACUAUUAUUUGGGGCCAGAAGGAGGCCUACACAGGCAAGGAUGCUCCUUCCACGUCCAGUGUACUAGCAAAAGAUGCCCUAACUUCCGCAGGAGGGUGGGUGGAUGCACACUGCUUUUUCAAAGUGUAGUGCCCAACCAAGUAAAUCACUCAGAUGCAAUCGAAGUGUCUCAAAAUUGCAAUAAGGAGUAAGAAUGGAAAUUGAAAGAUAAUACAUUAAAGAUGAUGGUUUUCUUGAGGCUCUACAUUGAAUAUAAACACAAAAAUAUGUACACCUGGGUUGUAGAGAAGGCUCAGCGGCUGAGAGUACUGGGUUCUCUUCCCAAGAACCCAGGUUAGAGUCCCAGCAUCCACAGGGUAUCUCACUGCCAUUUCAGUUUUAGGGGGAUCCCAAAAUCUCUUAACAGCCUUUGCAGGUACACAGACCACAUGUAAGCAAAACCCCGUAAGUGAAAAAUGAAAUUAAAUAAUUUUUUAAAAAAAGAACUGAGGGGUUGGGGAUUUAGCUCAGUGGUAGAGCGCUUACCUAGGAAGCGCAAGGCCCUGGGUUCGGUCCCCAGCUCCAGAAAAAAAAGAACAAAAAAAAAAAAAAAAAAAAAAAAAGAAA